RNAcentral lists this transfer RNA (72 nucleotides) under Actinomycetota bacterium. Its description in RNAcentral is "tRNA-Arg". It matches the Rfam family "tRNA". Rfam says of the family: Transfer RNA (tRNA) molecules are approximately 80 nucleotides in length. Their secondary structure includes four short double-helical elements and three loops (D, anti-codon, and T loops). Further hydrogen bonds mediate the characteristic L-shaped molecular structure. tRNAs have two regions of fundamental functional importance: the anti-codon, which is responsible for specific mRNA codon recognition, and the 3' end, to which the tRNAs corresponding amino acid is attached (by aminoacyl-tRNA synthetases). tRNAs cope with the degeneracy of the genetic code in two manners: having more than one tRNA (with a specific anti-codon) for a particular amino acid; and 'wobble' base-pairing, i.e. permitting non-standard base-pairing at the 3rd anti-codon position. The record is from RNAcentral. Lineage: Bacteria; Bacillati; Actinomycetota.
GCCGCUGUAGCUCAAUGGAAGAGCAGUUCCGUCCUAAGGAAAGGGUUGGGGGUUCGAGUCCCUCCAGCGGCA